UCUCCACCAUCUGCUUCGAGCUUAUUGAGCCUCCCAAUGGCUACUACUUCCUCCAAUCUCUCACUGUUGUUAAUUUCAUCUGCAGUUCGUUCAACGUAACGUUAUUGAUUUCUGCCGCAUUGUCAUUCUGUUUUCAUCGUCUACAGGUGCCUGAUAAUUGUUCCUUCCAAUGGCGACUUCCUCCGAUCUCUCGCAGUUAUUUUAUCUGCAAUUCGUUCGAUGUUCUUUAAUUUGAAUGGAUUUCCGGUGUCCAUAUCCUAUUCUCAUCUUGUUUUCACCGUCUUCAGGAUUAAAUUGUUCAAUCAGUUACUCGAGUCGGAUUUUGCCAGAGAAAUUACUCAUCUCCAUCAUCAGGAUUUACAUGCGCAACCUCGUCUACAGGAAGCAUCCAACAAUAGAAGAAGGCCAUCAAUAUUGAGGUAAAUUCUCUAACUUUGUGUGGGAUUCUUCCAAAUGGAUGAUUUUCAUUUACCAUCCUUAUCAUCACUUAUCAUCACUAUCAUCACUAGUAGAGGACACAACAAAGGCAGAAUCUUUGAAUAAGUGGAACUAUAAUUUUGAAUCUAUUUUGAAACAAGAGAUCCCUUGGCGCUCCAAGCAUUCCAAAGGAUAACAAAAUAGAAAGCCCAAUAUGAUUUCUUUUCUCUUAACUACCAAUGGAAAUGCUGAAUUUUAUUUGGACAGGAAUAUACUCUUUUUUGCAUGUUGGGCAAUGAUUUAAUCCAUUUUUCUCUUAUAUUACUUAAUUAACUCCAACUUGAAUGCAUUUUCUUUGAUUUUAUUCUCUUCAAGUAUAUUUGUUUUAUUGUUUUUAACUUCCAAUGGUUGGAAUCUUUAUAUAAUUAUCCCUCUGGGUUGAUUUUUUAAAUAUUCCAAACCUUUCUUUUCUCUGGAGUGCACUCCAACUCUGUUUUCAGCCAUAAAAGACAAA
Molecule: non-coding RNA, 931 nt
Organism: Cucurbita pepo subsp. pepo (vegetable marrow)
Lineage: Eukaryota; Viridiplantae; Streptophyta; Magnoliopsida; Cucurbitales; Cucurbitaceae
Source: RefSeq, a predicted model, not a curated record